GAAAAUAUAAUAUUUAAAUACAAUACUAAAACAAAUCUCGCAAAUACCGACACGAACACUCCCAAAAUCCGGUGUCAGUGAGUACAUGAGCAUCUAAUAUGAAUACAAGUCUGGAAAAUAUGGUCUAUAAUAGUCUGAGACCAAAUAUAGUAAGCAAGGAGAUAGGGAAGGAGAGGCAAGGUCUGCGAAAUGCGGCAACUAUAUCUGAAUCUCCGAAAAAUCAACUAUGCAAAAGAAUCAACACCCGCUAUGUCCGAGAACACCUGGAUUUGCACACGAAGUGCAUGGUGUAGUAUUAGUACAACCAACUCAGCAAGUAAUAACAAUAAAUAAGGAACUGAAGAUAGUGAUGAGCUACACUGCUACAGUUCAUUUUCAGUAAUUCCACCAAAGAUUAGACAUGAUUUCAAAUCCAGCAGUUUAAGUCAAAUCAGUUUUAUACAGUUCAAGUUCAUGAAAUUCCGAUAAAAAAAAUUUCAGAAAAUUUUACAACAAUGUCAGAUAGCAACUAAGUGCAACAACAAAUGAAAACAAGUACACUCUCUCAGGGCAACAGUCACUCGACUCGUCACAACAGCUCAACCACUCGACUCUCAACCCUCAGCACUCACACUCAAUGGGCACCCUCGCUCACUGGGGGUGUAUAGACUCUAGAGGGGCUCCUACAGCCCAAGCGCUAUAAUCUGCACGGACAACUCACGUGCUGCACAGACAACUCACGUGCCAUAGUAUAAAUAUCUGGAUCUGCACGGGCAACUCACGUGCUAUAAUAUAAUAUAAGGAUCCGCACAGACAACUCACGUGUUGCACGAACAACUAACGUGCUAUAAUAUAAUAUAAGGAUCCGCACAGACAACUCACGUGUUGCACGAACAACUCACAUGCUAUAAUAUAAUAUCUCACAAUCAGCCACUCGGCCUCGCUCAGUCAUAAAUCUCUCCAGUCUCUCGGGCUCUCAUAAAUCAUGAAAUUAGCCCAAACAACAAUGAUAUGAUGCAUCAAUAAUGAACAAUAGAGACUGAGAUAAAAUAAUCAAGUAAACUGUGACUGAGUACAAAAUAAUAAUUAAGCAGAUAGUUCAACAUGUACACGACCUAUGUGGGUCCCAACAGUACCAGCAUAUAGCCUAAACAUGGUUUCUAACAUGGUUUAUAGUUAAAUUUCCACAACACAUAGAGAGCACGUAGCUAACAACAAGUUAUUCAACUUUACAAUAUCACGGGACGGAUCAAGUUACAAUCCCCUCGGUGCAUGCCCACACUCCCGUCACCUAGCAUGUGCGUCACCUCCAAAAUAAUCACAUGAUACAAAAUUCGGGGUUUCAUACCCUCAAGACCAGAUUUAUAACUAUUACUUACCUCAAACCGUGAAAUUCUUGUUCCGCUAAGCCUUUGUCUCAUGAAUUGGCCUCCAAACGCCUCGUAUCUAGCCACAAAUAAUUCGAUUCAGUCAAUAAAAUUCAUU
Molecule: long non-coding RNA, 1464 nt
Filed under: Nicotiana tabacum (common tobacco)
Lineage: Eukaryota; Viridiplantae; Streptophyta; Magnoliopsida; Solanales; Solanaceae
Description: long non-coding RNA (NTAB_LNC019642)
Source: RNAcentral